GGUUUAAAGCUCCGGNGGAUACAGAUGGGCUCNNGUGACAUUAGCUAGACGGUGAGGUAACGGCUCACCNUGGCGGCGAUGUCUAGGGGUUCUGAGAGGAAGGUCCCNNNNAUUGGAACUGAGACACGGUCCAAACUCCUACGGGAGGCAGCAGUGAGGAAUAUUGGUCAAUGGACGCAAGUCUGAACCAGCCAUGCCGCGUGAAGGUGACGGNCCUAUGGGUCUUAAACUUCUUUUGUAACAGAGCAAUAAGGAUCACGCGUUGGUCCGACGAGAGUAUCUCACGAAUAA
Molecule: ribosomal RNA, 291 nt
Filed under: uncultured bacterium
Lineage: Bacteria
Description: partial 16S ribosomal RNA
Rfam family: Bacterial small subunit ribosomal RNA
Source: RNAcentral